GUGCUGGGAUCACUGGUUGGUGCUGAGUUGGUGGGCCAAAGGGCCUGUUUCUGUGCUUUAUCUACACUACAAGUAAUUUUAAGAGUUUCACCUACAGCCUUUUUUCCCUAAUGAAACUCAAAUAAAAUGGUUCAAAGAGUAUCACUAUUGACAAAACUAUGGAAGAGCGAUGGCAUUUGAAUGUUCACGGAUGCACAAUAACGGAGGUACAAAGGAGAAAACAUUGUUCUUUAUCUCAAGGGAUUUAGAAUACAAAAUAGUCAAAUUCAACUGACCAACUCCAGAGAAACAAUUUCCACUGGUGUGGGAAUCCAAACAAGGAGACCUUCAAUGCCUUAAAAUGACACCAACAUAGGAUAGAGAU
Molecule: long non-coding RNA, 364 nt
Organism: Amblyraja radiata (thorny skate)
Lineage: Eukaryota; Metazoa; Chordata; Chondrichthyes; Rajiformes; Rajidae
Exons: 2
Source: RefSeq, a predicted model, not a curated record